AACGCAAAUGGCGGUUUGGGGAUAUGCCUCAGACCACGUUUCUCUGACUAUCGGUUUCAACUCAACUCUACACCUUGCUGAAAAGUAAGUGUGUAGGAUAUCUGGGAUGUCUCGAUCACAUCGAGUCUCCUUAAAUGCAAAAGCGGAACUUUCACGAGUCUGAUACAGUUCGUGUUCUCGCGUGCGACGCCAGAUAAUUACCUUGCAUUCCCUCCGGGUUGCAUAGGUAUAUCAGGCGUAACUGCAGUGAGUAAUAACGUUGUACACAGUCGUGAAAACGAUGCUUUACUGGGAAAUAACAACAUCUUUUGAGAUGUUACGACAACUAGAUGUCAGAUGAAGCGAGAUUACCCGCUGAACUUAA
This 364-nucleotide unclassified non-coding RNA is filed under the name uncultured fungus. Its description in RNAcentral is "partial contains ITS1, 5.8S rRNA and ITS2". Lineage: Eukaryota; Fungi. The record is from RNAcentral.